CUACGGGAGGCUGCAGUGGGGAAUAUUGCACAAUGGGCGCAAGCCUGAUGCAGCCAUGCCGCGUGUGUGAAGAAGGCCUUAGGGUUGUAAAGCACUUUCAGUAAGGAGGAAAGGUUAGUAGUUAAUACCUGCUAGCUGUGACGUUACUUACAGAAGAAGCACCGGCUAACUCCGUGCCAGCAGCCGCGGUAAUACGGAGGGUGCGAGCGUUAAUCGGAAUUACUGGGCGUAAAGCGUACGCAGGCGGUUUGUUAAGCGAGAUGUGAAAGCCCCGGGCUCAACCUGGGAACUGCAUUUCGAACUGGCAAACUAGAGUAUGAUAGAGGGUGGUAGAAUUUCAGGUGUAGCGGUGAAAUGCGUAGAGAUCUGAAGGAAUACCGAUGGCGAAGGCAGCCACCUGGGUCAAUACUGACGCUCAUGUACGAAAGCGUGGGGAGCAAACGGGAUUAGAUACCCCAGUAGUC
This 464-nucleotide ribosomal RNA is filed under the name uncultured bacterium. Its description in RNAcentral is "partial 16S ribosomal RNA". It matches the Rfam family "Bacterial small subunit ribosomal RNA", at positions 339 to 795 of the family's 1533-position model. The record is from RNAcentral.